CCAGCUAGACAACCGCUUCGCCUUACGGGGGCGAAGAGGAAAGUCCGGGCACCUUGGGGCAUGAUGCUGGGUAACACCCAGGUGCAGAGAUGCAACAGAAAGUGCAACAGAAAACAUACCGCCUGCCCGCAUAGGGCAGGUAAGGGUGAAAAGGCGAGGUAAGAGCUCACCGCGUCACUGGCGACAGGGACGGCAGUGUAAACCUCAUCAGGUGCAAGGCCAAGCAGCAGGGUGUCCCGCCCCGGACCAGUCCCCUGCGGGUAGGCCGCUCGAGCCAGGGAGAGAUCCCUGGCCUAGAUAGAUGGUUGUCGUUAUACAGAACCCGGCUUAUUGCU
This 335-nucleotide RNase P RNA is filed under the name uncultured Bullifex sp. Its description in RNAcentral is "Bacterial RNase P class A". It matches the Rfam family "Bacterial RNase P class A". From Rfam's summary of the family: Ribonuclease P (RNase P) is a ubiquitous endoribonuclease, found in archaea, bacteria and eukarya as well as chloroplasts and mitochondria. The record is from RNAcentral. Lineage: Bacteria; Pseudomonadati; Spirochaetota; Spirochaetia; Spirochaetales; Spirochaetaceae.